This 187-nucleotide small RNA is filed under the name Arabidopsis thaliana (thale cress). RNAcentral's name for it is "ATSL032290". The record is from RNAcentral. Lineage: Eukaryota; Viridiplantae; Streptophyta; Magnoliopsida; Brassicales; Brassicaceae.
AUCUACCUAAUGGAAGGAAGACGUGCUGGUUUGAUUGUCACCGAAGAUUUCUUUCUCAUGGUCAUCCAUUACGGAAGAACAAAAACGACUUCCGAAAAGGAAAAGACGCUUCUACCGAGUAUCCACCUGAGUCUUUAACCGGUGAGCAAAUUUAUUACGAGCAGUUGUCUGGUGUAAAUCCACCAAG